Molecule: ribosomal RNA, 253 nt
Filed under: uncultured bacterium
Lineage: Bacteria
Description: partial 16S ribosomal RNA
Rfam family: Bacterial small subunit ribosomal RNA
Source: RNAcentral
UACGAAGGGGGCUAGCGUUGCUCGGAAUCACUGGGCGUAAAGGGUGCGUAGGCGGGGCUUUAAGUCAGGGGUGAAAUCCUGGAGCUCAACUCCAGAACUGCCUUUGAUACUGAGGAUCUUGAGUUCGGGAGAGGUGAGUGGAACUGCGAGUGUAGAGGUGAAAUUCGUAGAUAUUCGCAAGAACACCAGUAGCGAAGGCGGCCCACUGGCCCGAUACUGACGCUGAGGCACGAAAGCGUGGGGAGCAAACAGG